GAACAGGCAGCCUGUUCCAGUGCCUCACCACUCUUUCUGAGAAGAAUUUUUUCCUAAUAUCUAGCCUGAACCUCCCCGGUGCAUCUUAAAGCCAUAACCUCUUAUCCUAAGAAGGAGAGAAAGGAGGGAAGAAGGGAAGAAAGGACGAUAGAUAGGAAGAAGAAAAAAGAGAAAGAGAGAAGAGAGAGAGAAGGCACUGUGGGAAUGCCAUGUGGGUUAGAGUCCAUGGUGAGGAGUGGUAUUGAUGUGGAGAAGGCCGGACUCUUAGGAUCUCAGCUGAAAGAGAAAUUACUGCCCAUUAAAGGGAAAGCAAAGGUGAAGCUGAAGCAAUUGAAGUGUUUGGGAUGUUGUGCAUGAGCAGUCUACCACUACAGAUGAAGAAGAUGUACUGAGCAAGUUAAAUAUCUCUGUGACCGGUACUAUGAAAGCCAAUAUUAUGAAGCACCAAAGAAAGGUGUGAAAAAUCUGUAGGACUGUUUAUACUCCUGGCCAUCCUCCCACAGAAAGACCCUAUUAAGUCAAGAUGCCAGAUUAACAGCCCUAGAGACUUUCUGUUCCAAGGACAUCCCAAGGACCAGCAGUGAGAGUCCAGUUUUUGCCAUGCUGCCCCUGCAAUGUGACAUUGAUAUGACUAUAGUGACCAAAGGAGAAGGUAGCUCAAAUUGUUCAGGUCAGAGUGUUCAGGUAAG
Numida meleagris (helmeted guineafowl) is the source of this 689-nucleotide long non-coding RNA. RefSeq lists it as uncharacterized. NCBI's taxonomy places the organism in Eukaryota, Metazoa, Chordata, Aves, Galliformes, Numididae. The record is from RefSeq and is a predicted model, not a curated record. The transcript has 3 exons.